GAUGGCAUGGGCCUUGGAAACUGCAUGCAAAAUGCGGAAGACGAUGUCCCUACAGCAAGCAGGUCAAUCUCCCACGAUUCAGAUGUCGUAGCACAGAACACCAUGAGAUUAGACACACCUACGACUAGUACAAUGAGAUCAGAUGCACCCGCUUUUCGCCCGACAUUCAGUGCCCCACCAUCUGAACAGUACUUAUCAACAAAGCGGGCUCCUACACGCAGGCGAGACCCCUCUCCAACGAGCGAGCCAGACAUCGCAGACUACUAUGAUCCAGAAAUGUUUCAAACCAGACGCAUGACUCGAUCAAUGUCUAUGUACUACCACCCGAAGAUUUACCCUCGGGAAUACCCUUGA
Molecule: long non-coding RNA, 354 nt
Filed under: Olea europaea subsp. europaea
Lineage: Eukaryota; Viridiplantae; Streptophyta; Magnoliopsida; Lamiales; Oleaceae
Source: RNAcentral